AGCACAUAAGCAAAAUAAGGGCGUAUGGGGAAUGCCUAGGCUCUCAGAGGCGAAGAAGGACGUGAUAAGCUGCGAAAAGCUGCGGGGACGGGCACACACCGAUUGAUCCGCAGAUAUCCGAAUGGGGCAACCCACUAUGUUGAAGACAUAGUAUCCGAUAGGAGGCAAACCCGCUGAACUGAAACAUCUAAGUAGGCGGAGGAGAAGAAAACAAAAGUGAUUCCGCAAGUAGUGGCGAGCGAACGCGGAAUAGCCCAAACCAAUGUUGUUACGGCAAUAUUGGGGUUGUAGGACCACGAUAUUUCUUGCGGCUUUAAUUAGAAUCAUUUGGAAAGAUGAACCGAAGAGGGUGAUAGUCCCGUAUAAGUAAGAAAAGAUAAGAAUAGUGGUAUCCUGAGUAGGUCGGGACACGAGAAAUCCUGAUUGAAUCCGGCGGGACCAUCCGCCAAGGCUAAAUACUCCUGAGAGACCGAUAGUGAACCAGUACCGUGAGGGAAAGGUGAAAAGAACCGUGAAUAACGGAGUGAAAUAGAUCCUGAAACCAUACGCUUACAAGCGGUCGGAGCCCUUUAGUGGGGUGACGGCGUGCCUUUUGCAUAAUGAGCCUACGAGUUACCGUUGCUGGCAAGGAUAAGGACUUCAGGUCUGGAUCCGUAGCGAAAGCGAGUCUGAAUAGGGCGCUUUAGUCAGUAGUGGUAGACGCGAAACCGUGUGAUCUACCCAUGGGCAGGUUGAAGUUUAGGUAACACUAAAUGGAGGACCGAACCGUCAAACGCUGAAAAGUUUUCGGAUGACCUGUGGGUAGGGGUGAAAGGCCAAUCAAACUCGGAAAUAGCUCGUACUCCCCGAAAUGCAUUUAGGUGCAGCGGUAUAUUAGUUAUAUAGAGGUAGAGCUACUGAUUGGAUGCGGGGGCUUCACCGCCUACCAAUUCCUGACAAACUCCGAAUGCUAUAUAAUGAUUUAU
RNAcentral lists this ribosomal RNA (965 nucleotides) under Myroides guanonis. RNAcentral describes it as "bacterial LSU rRNA". It matches the Rfam family "Bacterial large subunit ribosomal RNA", at positions 1 to 978 of the family's 2925-position model. Lineage: Bacteria; Pseudomonadati; Bacteroidota; Flavobacteriia; Flavobacteriales; Flavobacteriaceae. The record is from RNAcentral.